This 305-nucleotide ribosomal RNA is filed under the name uncultured bacterium. Its description in RNAcentral is "bacterial SSU rRNA". It matches the Rfam family "Bacterial small subunit ribosomal RNA", at positions 338 to 659 of the family's 1533-position model. The record is from RNAcentral.
CCUACGGGACGCAGCAGUAGGGAAUAUUGCUCAAUGGGGGAAACCCUGAAGCAGCAACGCCGCGUGGAGGAUGAAGGUUUUCGGAUUGUAAACUCCUUUUGUUAGAGAAGAUAAUGACGGUAUCUAACGAAUAAGCACCGGCUAACUCCGUGCCAGCAGCCGCGGUAAUACGGAGGGUGCAAGCGUUGUUCGGAAUGACUGGGCGUAAAGGGUGUGUAGGCGGUGUAGCAAGUUAGAAGUGAAAUACCUAGAGCUUAACUCAGGUGCUGCUUCUAAAACUGCUAUACUUGAGUGCAGUAGAGGAA